Molecule: ribosomal RNA, 679 nt
Filed under: uncultured bacterium
Lineage: Bacteria
Description: bacterial SSU rRNA
Rfam family: Bacterial small subunit ribosomal RNA
Source: RNAcentral
UAGAGUUUGAUCUUGGCUCAGAUUGAACGCUGGCGGCAGGCCUAACACAUGCAAGUCGAACGGUAACAGGAAGCAGCUUGCUGCUUCGCUGACGAGUGGCGGGCGGGUGAGUAAUGUCUGGGAAACUGCCUGAUGGAGGGGGAUAACUACUGGAAACGGUAGCUAAUACCGCAUAACGUCGCAAGACCAAAGAGGGGGACCUUCGGGCCUCUUGCCAUCGGAUGUGCCCAGAUGGGAUUAGCUAGUAGGUGGGGUAACGGCUCACCUAGGCGACGAUCCCUAGCUGGUCUGAGAGGAUGACCAGCCACACUGGAACUGAGACACGGUCCAGACUCCUACGGGAGGCAGCAGUGGGGAAUAUUGCACAAUGGGCGCAAGCCUGAUGCAGCCAUGCCGCGUGUAUGAAGAAGGCCUUCGGGUUGUAAAGUACUUUCAGCGGGGAGGAAGGGAGUAAAGUUAAUACCUUUGCUCAUUGACGUUACCCGCAGAAGAAGCACCGGCUAACUCCGUGCCAGCAGCCGCGGUAAUACGGAGGGUGCAAGCGUUAAUCGGAAUUACUGGGCGUAAAGCGCACGCAGGCGGUUUGUUAAGUCAGAUGUGAAAUCCCCGGGCUCAACCUGGGAACUGCAUCUGAUACUGGCAAGCUUGAGUCUCGUAGAGGGGGGUAGAAUUCCAGGUG